RNAcentral lists this ribosomal RNA (406 nucleotides) under uncultured bacterium. Its description in RNAcentral is "partial 16S ribosomal RNA". It matches the Rfam family "Bacterial small subunit ribosomal RNA", at positions 30 to 526 of the family's 1533-position model. The record is from RNAcentral.
AUUGAACGCUGGCGGCAGGCCUAACACAUGCAAGUCGAGCGAGCGGCGGACGGGUGAGUAAUGUCUGGGAAACUGCCUGCUGGAGGGGGAUAACUACUGGAAACGGUAGCUAAUACCGCAUACCAUCAGAUGUGCCCCGAUGGGAUUAGCUAGUAGGGGGGGUAAUGGCUCACCUAGGCGACAAUCCCUAGCUGGGCUGAGAGGAUGACCAGCCAAACUGGAACUGGGACCCGGUCCCGACUCCUACGGGGGGCAGCAGUGGGGAAUAUUGGACAAUUGGGGGAAACCUGAUCCAGCCAUGCCGCGUGGGUGAAGAAGGCCUUAUGGUUGUAAAGCACUUUAAGCGAGGAGGCGUUACUCGCAGAAUAAGCACCGGCUAACUCCGUGCCAGCAGCCGCGGUAAUAC